RNAcentral lists this ribosomal RNA (2427 nucleotides) under Salmonella enterica subsp. enterica serovar Typhi. RNAcentral's name for it is "bacterial LSU rRNA". The stretch from base 1007 to 2427 matches the Rfam family "Bacterial large subunit ribosomal RNA". The record is from RNAcentral. Lineage: Bacteria; Pseudomonadati; Pseudomonadota; Gammaproteobacteria; Enterobacterales; Enterobacteriaceae.
GAGAUCAAAGAAGUUCGCGCGGGCGACAUCGCGGCUGCUAUCGGCCUGAAAGACGUGACUACCGGUGACACCCUGUGUGAUCCGGAAAACCCGAUCAUUCUGGAACGUAUGGAAUUCCCUGAGCCGGUAAUCUCCAUCGCGGUAGAACCGAAAACCAAAGCUGACCAGGAAAAAAUGGGUCUGGCUCUGGGCCGUCUGGCGAAAGAAGACCCGUCGUUCCGCGUAUGGACUGAUGAAGAAUCUAACCAGACCAUCAUCGCUGGUAUGGGUGAACUUCACCUAGAUAUCAUCGUUGACCGUAUGAAGCGUGAAUUCAACGUUGAAGCGAACGUGGGUAAACCUCAGGUUGCUUACCGCGAAGCGAUUCGCGCGAAAGUUACCGACAUCGAAGGUAAACACGCGAAACAGUCUGGUGGUCGCGGUCAGUAUGGUCAUGUUGUUAUCGACAUGUACCCGCUGGAGCCGGGCUCUAACCCGAAAGGUUACGAGUUCAUCAACGACAUCAAAGGUGGUGUAAUUCCUGGCGAGUACAUCCCGGCCGUUGAUAAAGGCAUCCAGGAGCAGCUGAAAUCUGGCCCGCUGGCGGGUUAUCCGGUAGUUGAUCUCGGUGUGCGUCUGCACUUCGGUUCUUACCAUGACGUUGACUCCUCUGAGCUGGCGUUUAAACUGGCUGCGUCUAUCGCCUUUAAAGAAGGCUUUAAGAAAGCAAAACCAGUUCUGCUUGAGCCGAUCAUGAAGGUUGAAGUAGAAACACCUGAAGAGAAUACCGGUGACGUUAUCGGCGACCUUAGCCGCCGUCGUGGUAUGCUCAAAGGUCAGGAAUCUGAAGUUACAGGCGUUAAGAUCCACGCUGAAGUACCGCUGUCUGAAAUGUUCGGAUAUGCAACUCAGCUGCGUUCUCUGACCAAAGGUCGCGCAUCGUACACUAUGGAAUUCCUGAAGUAUGAUGAUGCGCCGAACAACGUUGCUCAGGCCGUAAUCGAAGCCCGUGGUAAAUAAGCCGCAGGGUUAAAAACCAAAAUCCCGUGCUCUCUCCUGAAGGGGAGAGCGCUAUAGUAAGGAAUAUAGCCGUGUCUAAAGAAAAAUUUGAACGUACAAAACCGCACGUUAACGUCGGCACCAUCGGCCACGUUGACCACGGUAAAACUACCCUGACCGCUGCAAUCACCACCGUACUGGCUAAAACCUACGGCGGUGCUGCUCGUGCAUUCGACCAGAUCGAUAACGCUCCGGAAGAAAAAGCGCGUGGUAUCACCAUCAACACUUCUCACGUUGAAUACGAUACCCCNGCUGCAACUGUUUAUUAAAAACACAGCACUGUGCAAACACGAAAGUGGACGUAUACGGUGUGACGCCUGCCCGGUGCCGGAAGGUUAAUUGAUGGGGUCAGCGCAAGCGAAGCUCCUGAUCGAAGCCCCGGUAAACGGCGGCCGUAACUAUAACGGUCCUAAGGUAGCGAAAUUCCUUGUCGGGUAAGUUCCGACCUGCACGAAUGGCGUAAUGAUGGCCAGGCUGUCUCCACCCGAGACUCAGUGAAAUUGAACUCGCUGUGAAGAUGCAGUGUACCCGCGGCAAGACGGAAAGACCCCGUGAACCUUUACUAUAGCUUGACACUGAACAUUGAGCCUUGAUGUGUAGGAUAGGUGGGAGGCUUUGAAGUGUGGACGCCAGUCUGCAUGGAGCCGACCUUGAAAUACCACCCUUUAAUGUUUGAUGUUCUAACGUGGACCCGUGAUCCGGGUUGCGGACAGUGUCUGGUGGGUAGUUUGACUGGGGCGGUCUCCUCCUAAAGAGUAACGGAGGAGCACGAAGGUUGGCUAAUCCUGGUCGGACAUCAGGAGGUUAGUGCAAUGGCAUAAGCCAGCUUGACUGCGAGCGUGACGGCGCGAGCAGGUGCGAAAGCAGGUCAUAGUGAUCCGGUGGUUCUGAAUGGAAGGGCCAUCGCUCAACGGAUAAAAGGUACUCCGGGGAUAACAGGCUGAUACCGCCCAAGAGUUCAUAUCGACGGCGGUGUUUGGCACCUCGAUGUCGGCUCAUCACAUCCUGGGGCUGAAGUAGGUCCCAAGGGUAUGGCUGUUCGCCAUUUAAAGUGGUACGCGAGCUGGGUUUAGAACGUCGUGAGACAGUUCGGUCCCUAUCUGCCGUGGGCGCUGGAGAACUGAGGGGGGCUGCUCCUAGUACGAGAGGACCGGAGUGGACGCAUCACUGGUGUUCGGGUUGUCAUGCCAAUGGCACUGCCCGGUAGCUAAAUGCGGAAGAGAUAAGUGCUGAAAGCAUCUAAGCACGAAACUUGCCCCGAGAUGAGUUCUCCCUGAGACUUUAGGUCUCCUGAAGGAACGUUGAAGACGACGACGUUGAUAGGCCGGGUGUGUAAGCGCAGCGAUGCGUUGAGCUAACCGGUACUAAUGAACCGUGAGGCUUAACCUU